Molecule: ribosomal RNA, 109 nt
Filed under: Enterobacter cloacae
Lineage: Bacteria; Pseudomonadati; Pseudomonadota; Gammaproteobacteria; Enterobacterales; Enterobacteriaceae
Description: partial 16S ribosomal RNA
Rfam family: Bacterial small subunit ribosomal RNA
Source: RNAcentral
UUAAAUUGAAGAGUUUGAUCAUGGCUCAGAUUGAACGCUGGCGGCAGGCCUAACACAUGCAAGUCGAACGGUAACAGGAAGCAGCUUGCUGCUUCGCUGACGAGUGCCG